RNAcentral lists this ribosomal RNA (96 nucleotides) under uncultured Mantoniella. RNAcentral's name for it is "partial Trypanosomatid mitochondrial large subunit ribosomal RNA". Lineage: Eukaryota; Viridiplantae; Chlorophyta; Mamiellophyceae; Mamiellales. The record is from RNAcentral.
GGCGCGGCUCCUGGAGCUGAUGAAGCCCGAGGCUGGGGUAUCGCAGGCCGGGCGGGUGGUGCCGCAGGGCAGUCACCUACACGACUUGCACAGCGC